UGCAGUCGACGGGCUCUUCGGAGCAGUGGCGGACGGGUGAGUAACGCGUGAGAAUGUGCCUUGAGGAUGGGGAUAACAAUAGGAAACUAAUGCUAAGACCCAGUGUGCCUUAAGUGGUGAAAAAUGAAAAUUGCCUGAAGAGGAGCUCGCGUCUGAUUAGCUAGUUGGGGUGGUAAAAGCGCACCAAGGCGACGAUCAGUAGCUGGUCUGAGAGGAUGAGCAGCCACACUGGGACUGAGACACGGCCCAGACUCCUACGGGAGGCAGCAGUGGGGAAUUUUCCGCAAUGGGCGAAAGCCUGACGGAGCAAUACCGCGUGAGGGAGGAAGGCUCUUGGGUUGUAAACCUCAAAACUUAGGGAAGAAAAAAUGACGGUACCUAAUAUAAGCAUCGGCUAACUCCGUGCCAGCAGCCGCGGUAAUACG
RNAcentral lists this ribosomal RNA (425 nucleotides) under uncultured bacterium. RNAcentral describes it as "bacterial SSU rRNA". It matches the Rfam family "Bacterial small subunit ribosomal RNA", at positions 56 to 527 of the family's 1533-position model. The record is from RNAcentral.